This 680-nucleotide ribosomal RNA is filed under the name uncultured cyanobacterium. RNAcentral's name for it is "bacterial SSU rRNA". It matches the Rfam family "Bacterial small subunit ribosomal RNA", at positions 355 to 1050 of the family's 1533-position model. Lineage: Bacteria; Bacillati; Cyanobacteriota. The record is from RNAcentral.
UGGGGAAUUUUCCGCAAUGGGCGAAAGCCUGACGGAGCAACGCCGCGUGAGGGAUGAAGGCCUCUGGGCUGUAAACUUCUUUUAUCAAGGAAGAAGAUCUGACGGUACUUGAUGAAUAAGCCACGGCUAAUUCCGUGCCAGCAGCCGCGGUAAUACGGGAGUGGCAAGCGUUAUCCGGAAUUAUUGGGCGUAAAGCGUCCGCAGGCGGCCUUGUAAGUCUGUCGUCAAAGCGUGGAGCUUAACUCCAUUUAAGCGAUGGAAACUGCAAGGCUAGAGUGUGGUAGGGGCAGAGGGAAUUCCCGGUGUAGCGGUGAAAUGCGUAGAUAUCGGGAAGAACACCAGUGGCGAAGGCGCUCUGCUGGGCCAUAACUGACGCUCAUGGACGAAAGCCAGGGGAGCGAAAGGGAUUAGAUACCCCUGUAGUCCUGGCCGUAAACGAUGAACACUAGGUGUCGGGGGAAUCGACCCCCUCGGUGUCGUAGCCAACGCGUUAAGUGUUCCGCCUGGGGAGUACGCACGCAAGUGUGAAACUCAAAGGAAUUGACGGGGGCCCGCACAAGCGGUGGAGUAUGUGGUUUAAUUCGAUGCAACGCGAAGAACCUUACCAGGGUUUGACAUCCUGCGAAUCCCUGGAAACGAGGGAGUGCCUUCGGGAGCGCAGAGACAGGUGGUGCAUGGCU